RNAcentral lists this long non-coding RNA (1149 nucleotides) under Zonotrichia albicollis (white-throated sparrow). RNAcentral's name for it is "lncRNA (ENSZALG00000000332.1)". Lineage: Eukaryota; Metazoa; Chordata; Aves; Passeriformes; Passerellidae. The record is from RNAcentral.
CCUUCCCCUUUCCUUUCUCCUUCCCCUUUUCCCCUUCCCUCUUCCCCUUUCUCCUUUCCUUCUCAUUUUCCCCUUCCCUUUUCCCCUUUCCCUUUCCUUUUCCCCUUCCACUUUUCCCCUUCCCCCUUCUUUCCCUUCCUCUUUUCCCCUUCUCCUUUUCUUUUCCCCCUUCCCUUUUCCCCUUCCUUUUCCCCUUUCCCCUCUCCCCUUAUCUUUUCCCCUUUCCUUUACCCUUCCCCCUUUUCCUUCCCCUUUUCCUUUUCCCCUUUCUGUCUCCCCUUUCCCUUUCCCUGUUCCCUUUCCCUUCCCCGUUCCCCUUUCCCUUUUCCCCUUCUUUUCCCUUCCCCUUUCCUUUUCCUCUUCCCUUUUCCCAUCUCCCCUUUCCCCUCUCCUCCUUUUCCCUUCCCCUUUUCCCCUUUUAUUUUUCCCUUUCCCCUUCCACUUUUCCCCUUCCCCUCUUCCCCCUUCCCCUUUCCUUUCCCCUUUCCCUUCUCCUUCCCCUUUUUCCCCUUCCCUCUUCCCCUUUCUCCUUUCGUUCUCAUUUUCCCCUUCCCUUUUCCCCUUUCCCUUUCCCUUUCCCCGUUUCCCUUUCCCUUUCCCUUCCCCUUUCCCCUUUCCCUUUCCCUUUUCUUCUUUCCCCUUCCCCUUUCCUUUUCCUCUUCCCUUUUCCCAUCUCCCCUUUCCCCUCUCCUCCUUUUCCCCUUUUAUUUUUCCCUUUCCCCUUUUCCGCUUUUCCCAUUCCCCUCUUCCCCCUUCCCCUUUCCUUUCCCCUUUCCCUUCCCUCUUCCCCUUUUCCCCUUCCCUCUUCCCCUUUCUCCUUUCCUUCUCAUUUUCCCCUUCCCUUUUCCCCUUUCCCUUUCCCUUUCCUUUUCCCCUUCCACUUUUCCCCUUCCCCCUUCUUUCCCUUCCCCUUUUCCCCUUCUCCUUUUCUCUUCCCCCUUCCCUUUUCCCCUUUUCCCCUCUCCCUUUUCCCCUUCCCUUUCCCUUUCCCCUUUCCCUUUCCCCUUUCCCCCUUUCCCUUUCCUUUUCCUGUUGGAGAUUUUUUCAGGGAUGGCUUGGAGGGCAGCUGUGAGGAGCAGGUUCUCACAGCCUGCUUCUGUGAACGGCAGAGGUUCUCAGGUUAUUUUUAAUUACAAGUAAAGGUGACAA